UAACAACUCUCGGUAACGGAUAUCUCGGCUCUUGCAUCGAUGAAGAACGCAGUGAAAUGUGAUAAAUGGUGUGAAUUGCAGAAUCCCGUGAACCAUCGAGUCUUUGAACGCAAGUUGCGCCCGAGGCCAUCAGGCCAAGGGCACGCCUGCCUGGGCAUUGCGA
RNAcentral lists this ribosomal RNA (163 nucleotides) under Paphiopedilum godefroyae. RNAcentral describes it as "5.8S ribosomal RNA". It matches the Rfam family "5.8S ribosomal RNA". Rfam says of the family: 5.8S ribosomal RNA (5.8S rRNA) is a component of the large subunit of the eukaryotic ribosome. It is transcribed by RNA polymerase I as part of the 45S precursor that also contains 18S and 28S rRNA. Functionally, it is thought that 5.8S rRNA may be involved in ribosome translocation. Lineage: Eukaryota; Viridiplantae; Streptophyta; Magnoliopsida; Asparagales; Orchidaceae. The record is from RNAcentral.